Long non-coding RNA from Xenia sp. Carnegie-2017, 373 nucleotides. RefSeq lists it as uncharacterized. The record is from RefSeq and is a predicted model, not a curated record. The transcript has 5 exons. Lineage: Eukaryota; Metazoa; Cnidaria; Anthozoa; Malacalcyonacea; Xeniidae.
GUGUGAAACGUUACAGCAAACACAAUAUUUGUGAAGAGUGUUGGUGAAGUUCAUCGUUUCAAAUAAUGCAUGUUACGUUCCUCCAGAGUUCAGGAUUGAUCCUUACAAAUGCGAAAGAAAGAAAAUCGAAUCUCCAAACUACGAAAAUGAAGUAAUUGCUUACAAACGACCAAAUGAAGAAAAUUUGAGAUAUUUUCACAGUGGAUCUAUCGGAUGGGACUUUGAUAUCAUCCGUCCCAUUAUUUUGACUCGUCUUGGCAUCUCUUUAUCAUCGUUGAAUUCAAAAAGAAACUCUUCUGUUCGACUCUACGACAGAACAACUAAGAGCGAAAUUAUAUCUGUUUAUUUCUCUUUCCAAGACCCUGGUACAACA